This is an RNA transcript of Varanus komodoensis (Komodo dragon), 1941 nucleotides long. It is a transcript of the gene named C1GALT1 specific chaperone 1, with no coding region annotated. The transcript is spliced from 4 exons. NCBI's taxonomy places the organism in Eukaryota, Metazoa, Chordata, Lepidosauria, Squamata, Varanidae. The record is from RefSeq and is a predicted model, not a curated record.
AGAGGCGAGGUGUAAAGGGAAGCGGAUCUUCUUCCUGGAGAAGGGAGCGGAGGUGGCGACGGGUUUGACCCGGCUCUGUCGGAGCGGCUUCUGCUGCCAAUACCUGCCCAGAUCUUGGAACCAUGAUUGCUGAAAGUGGCUCCUUUGUGAAGGGCAUGAUGCUUGGAGGACUCUUCUGUGCCUUCGUGACUCUUCUAGGACAUAUUAAGACAGGUCACAGCACCAAAUCUCACGAGCACCGUCACCUCCAGGCUCCGAAAAGAGAGGCCAUUUUAAAUCUCUCCAAGGAUGAGCGCCUGGAACUGAGCCAGAGUAUCCGUGUGUAUUGCAUCAUCCUUGUCAAGCCUAAGGACCUCGCCCACUGGGCAGCUGUAAAAGAUACAUGGAGCAAGCAUUGCGAUAAGGCCGAAUUCUACAGUUCUGAAAAUGUCAAAGUCUUUGACUCCAUUGUUCUUGACACAAACGACAUGUGGACAAUGAUGCGGAAAGCAUAUAAACUUGCCUAUGAAAACUACAAAGAUGACUACAACUGGUUCUUUCUGACCCAUCCCAGCACAUUUGCCAUUAUCGAGAACUUGAAAUAUUUCCUCUUGAGACAAGACUCGUCCCAGCCCUUCUACACAGGUCGCACAGAGACAUCCGGAGACCUUCAGUACGUGAAUGGGGACGGCGGGAUUGUCCUGAGCAUUGAGUCAUUACGGCGGCUUUACAACAUUUUUUCAGAUCCGGAUAAGUGUCCUGAACAGGGGGGCAUGAUUUGGAAACUCUCUGAAGAUAAACAGCUAGCUGUGUGCUUGAAAUACACUGGGGUACAUGCAGAAAAUGCAGAGGAUUCUGGGAAAAAGGACAUUUUCAACACCAAACCAGUGGGAUCUCUCAUUAAAGAGGCCAUGUUAAGUCAUCCUCAGGAGGUGGUGGAGGGCUGCUGUUCAGAUAUGGCCAUCACCUUCAGUGGGUUAUCUCCUAACCACAUGCAUGUCAUGAUGUAUGGUGUUUACAGACUCCGAGCAUACGGGCACAGUUUUAAUGAUGCUCUGGUCAUUCUACCUCCCCCUGGUUCCGACAACGACUGACGGCUGUCGUCCAGUCAACCUGUAUGUAAAGCGUGUAGUCUUCACGUGGAGUGCCCUUCAGCAAGCAGCAUGCAUACACGCCGGUACAAUUUUUUGUAUUUGAUGGUCUCAGUGUAUUGACUUUUUUGCCACAACCUGCUUUUGUAAUCUUUACCAGUGGUGAACGGGGUGCUCUUUUACAAAACAAGCCCUUUUUUAAUGAAUUUUCAGCAUCUUCUGAAAAAAUGAUCACAUCUCCAUUGUCCAUGAAAACUGUGUAGCGGAGUUCAAGAUCUACCUGCUGGAGCCAGAUGAAAUUUUAGGUUCAAGAGAACAACCUGCUAGAGUCCCAAAAGGGCUGUUAAACUUCAGCAUGCAGGCACAUGAAUGGAUACCUCAGUGUGGUGGGAAGCCAGUAUACAAAGGUGAAGAGUUCUACCUAAGCCAUCACAGCACAGAAAUAAUUUCUACAGACUGACCUGUAACAUGAGGAAUGAUGGUUUGCAGCAGGCAAGGCCGCAUGUCAUAAGGACUCCUCCUUGUGGGACAGCCAUGAUCCACACUGACAUAGAAAAUUCUUCUGCAGGUCACACCUACAGAGACCCAAAACUUCUGCUCGCUUGUCAGCUCUGGUCAAUAAAAUUACUGCAUCAUCCUGGUUUGUAUGUAAGGACAAGACUGAAUAUGAGUUGUUGAACUACAUGUUGCAAAACCUGUAAACCCUGCACUAUGUUUAACAAUGGGAUGUUAACCACGAGCAAUUCAGGAGAAGAAUCCUUGAUUUGAUGAUAGUUAACAAUAAACAAUAAACCAUAGAGCAGGUCUGCACAUAAACCAGAAUUCAAUGACAACCCAUACCCUGGGGUUUUUAAUGCGGAUGAGAUAAAUU